Molecule: ribosomal RNA, 427 nt
Filed under: uncultured bacterium
Lineage: Bacteria
Description: partial 16S ribosomal RNA
Rfam family: Bacterial small subunit ribosomal RNA
Source: RNAcentral
GUGGGGAAUAUUGGGCAAUGGGCGCAAGCCUGACCCAGCAACGCCGCGUGAAGGAAGAAGGCUUUCGGGUUGUAAACUUCUUUUACCAGGGACGAAACAAAUGACGGUACCUGGUGAAUAAGCCACGGCUAACUACGUGCCAGCAGCCGCGGUAAUACGUAGGUGGCGAGCGUUAUCCGGAUUUAUUGGGUGUAAAGGGCGUGUAGGCGGGACAGCAAGUCAGAUGUGAAAACCAGAGGCUCAACCUCUGGCCUGCAUUUGAAACUGUUGUUCUUGAGUGUCGGAGAGGUAAUCGGAAUUCCGUGUGUAGCGGUGAAAUGCGUAGAUAUACGGAGGAACACCAGUGGCGAAGGCGGAUUACUGGACGAUAACUGACGCUGAGGCGCGAAGCGUGGGGAGCAAACAGGAUUAGAUACCCCGGUAGUCC